GACGAACGCUGGCGGCGUGCUUAACACAUGCAAGUCGAACGGAAAGGCCCAGCUUGCUGGGUGCUCUCGUGGCGCACGGGUGAGUAACACGUGGGUGUACUGCCCCUUACUUUGGGAUAUGCCUUCGAGACUGGGUCUAAUAUAGGGUAUGGCAAUCGUUUAGUGUUGGUUGUGGAAAGAUUUUUCGGUUGGGGAUGGACCCGCGGCUUACCAGCUUGUUGGUGGGGUAAUGGCCUACCAAGGCGUCGACGGGUAGCCGGCCUGAGAGGGUGGGCGGCCACAUUGGGACUGAGAUACGGCCCAGACUCCUACGGGAGGCAGCAGUGGGGAAUAUUGCACAAUGGGCGCAAGCCUGAUGCAGCGACGCCGCGUGCGGGAUGACGGCCUUCGGGUUGUAAACCGCUUUCGCCUGUGACGAAGCGUGGGUGACGGUACUUGGAAAAGAAGCACCGGCUAACUACGUG
RNAcentral lists this ribosomal RNA (464 nucleotides) under uncultured bacterium. RNAcentral's name for it is "partial 16S ribosomal RNA". It matches the Rfam family "Bacterial small subunit ribosomal RNA", at positions 28 to 507 of the family's 1533-position model. The record is from RNAcentral.